Molecule: ribosomal RNA, 449 nt
Filed under: uncultured bacterium
Lineage: Bacteria
Description: partial 16S ribosomal RNA
Rfam family: Bacterial small subunit ribosomal RNA
Source: RNAcentral
AACGAACGCUGGCGGCAGGCUUAACACAUGCAAGUCGAACGCACCUUUCGGGGUGAGUGGCAGACGGGUGAGUAACGCGUGGGAAUCUACCCUUCUCUACGGGAUAGCUCCGGGAAACUGGAAUUAAUACCGUAUACGUCCUGAGGGAGAAAGAUUUAUCGGGGAAGGAUGAGCCCGCGUUGGAUUAGCUAGUUGGUGGGGUAAAGGCCUACCAAGGCGACGAUCCAUAGCUGGUCUAAGAGGAUGAUCAGCCACAUUGGGACUGAGACACGGCCCAAACUCCUACGGGAGGCAGCAGUGGGGAAUAUUGGACAAUGGGCGCAAGCCUGAUCCAGCCAUGCCGCGUGAGUGAUGAAGGCCCUAGGGUUGUAAAGCUCUUUCAGUGGGGACGAUAAUGACGGUACCCACAGAAGAAGCCCCGGCUAACUUCGUGCCAGCAGCCGCCGUAA